ACGGGGGAUUGCCUUAGUACGGCGAGUGAAGCGGCAAAAGCUCAAAUUUGAAAUCUGGUACCUUCGGUGCCCGAGUUGUAAUUUGGAGAGGGCAACUUUGGGGCCGUUCCUUGUCUAUGUUCCUUGGAACAGGACGUCAUAGAGGGUGAGAAUCCCGUGUGGCGAGGAGUGCGGUUCUUUGUAAAGUGCCUUCGAAGAGUCGAGUUGUUUGGGAAUGCAGCUCUAAGUGGGUGGUAAAUUCCAUCUAAAGCUAAAUAUUGGCGAGAGACCGAUAGCGAACAAGUACAGUGAUGGAAAGAUGAAAAGAACUUUGAAAAGAGAGUGAAAAAGUACGUGAAAUUGUUGAAAGGGAAGGGCAUUUGAUCAGACAUGGUGUUUUGUGCCCUCUGCUCCUUGUGGGUAGGGGAAUCUCGCAUUUCACUGGGCCAGCAUCAGUUUUGGUGGCAGGAUAAAUCCAUAGGAAUGUAGCUUGCCUCGGUAAGUAUUAUAGCCUGUGGGAAUACUGCCAGCUGGGACUGAGGACUGCGACGUAAGUCAAGGAUGCUGGCAUAAUGGUUAUAUGCCGCCCGUCUUGAACCCCCGAAACAAA
RNAcentral lists this ribosomal RNA (589 nucleotides) under Saccharomyces cerevisiae (brewer's yeast). Its description in RNAcentral is "partial large subunit ribosomal RNA". It matches the Rfam family "Eukaryotic large subunit ribosomal RNA", at positions 67 to 664 of the family's 3401-position model. Lineage: Eukaryota; Fungi; Ascomycota; Saccharomycetes; Saccharomycetales; Saccharomycetaceae. The record is from RNAcentral.